AGCGAACGCUGGCGGCAGGCUUAACACAUGCAAGUCGAGCGGGCGUAGCAAUACGUCAGCGGCAGACGGGUGAGUAACACGUGGGAACGUACCUCUUGGUUCGGAACAACACAGGGAAACUUGUGCUAAUACCGAAUAAGCCCUUACGGGAAGAUUAUCGCCGAAAGAUCGGCCCGCGUCUGAUUAGCUUGUUGGUGAGGUAACGGCUCACCAAGGCGACGAUCAGUAGCUGGCUGAGAGGAUGAUCAGCCACACUGGGACGUGAGACACGGCCCAGACUCCUACGGGAGGC
Molecule: ribosomal RNA, 292 nt
Filed under: uncultured bacterium
Lineage: Bacteria
Description: partial 16S ribosomal RNA
Rfam family: Bacterial small subunit ribosomal RNA
Source: RNAcentral